Molecule: ribosomal RNA, 1346 nt
Filed under: uncultured bacterium
Lineage: Bacteria
Description: partial 16S ribosomal RNA
Rfam family: Bacterial small subunit ribosomal RNA
Source: RNAcentral
GACGAACGCUGGCGGCGUGCUUAACACAUGCAAGUCGAACGGAAAGGCCCUGCUUUUGUGGGGUGCUCGAGUGGCGAACGGGUGAGUAACACGUGAGUAACCUGCCCUUGACUUUGGGAUAACUUCAGGAAACUGGGGCUAAUACCGGAUAGGAGCUCCUGCUGCAUGGUGGGGGUUGGAAAGUUUCGGCGGUUGGGGAUGGACUCGCGGCUUAUCAGCUUGUUGGUGGGGUAGUGGCUUACCAAGGCUUUGACGGGUAGCCGGCCUGAGAGGGUGACCGGCCACAUUGGGACUGAGAUACGGCCCAGACUCCUACGGGAGGCAGCAGUGGGGAAUAUUGCACAAUGGGCGGAAGCCUGAUGCAGCAACGCCGCGUGCGGGAUGACGGCCUUCGGGUUGUAAACCGCUUUCGCCUGUGACGAAGCGUGAGUGACGGUAAUGGGUAAAGAAGCACCGGCUAACUACGUGCCAGCAGCCGCGGUGAUACGUAGGGUGCGAGCGUUGUCCGGAUUUAUUGGGCGUAAAGGGCUCGUAGGUGGUUGAUCGCGUCGGAAGUGUAAUCUUGGGGCUUAACCCUGAGCGUGCUUUCGAUACGGGUUGACUUGAGGAAGGUAGGGGAGAAUGGAAUUCCUGGCGGAGCGGUGGAAUGCGCAGAUAUCAGGAGGAACACCAGUGGCGAAGGCGGUUCUCUGGGCCUUUCCUGACGCUGAGGAGCGAAAGCGUGGGGAGCGAACAGGCUUAGAUACCCUGGUAGUCCACGCUGUAAACGGUGGGUACUAGGUGUGGGGUCCAUUCCACGGGUUCCGUGCCGUAGCUAACGCUUUAAGUACCCCGCCUGGGGAGUACGGCCGCAAGGCUAAAACUCAAAGGAAUUGACGGGGCCCCGCACAAGCGGCGGAGCAUGCGGAUUAAUUCGAUGCAACGCGUAGAACCUUACCUGGGUUUGACAUGGAUCGGGAGUGCUCAGAGAUGGGUGUGCCUCUUUUGGGGUCGGUUCACAGGUGGUGCAUGGCUGUCGUCAGCUCGUGUCGUGAGAUGUUGGGUUAAGUCCCGCAACGAGCGCAACCCUUGUUCACUGUUGCCAGCACGUUAUGGUGGGGACUCAGUGGAGACCGCCGGGGUCAACUCGGAGGAAGGUGGGGAUGACGUCAAGUCAUCAUGCCCCUUAUGUCCAGGGCUUCACGCAUGCUACAAUGGCUGGUACAGAGAGUGGCGAGCCUGUGAGGGUGAGCGAAUCUCGGAAAGCCGGUCUCAGUUCGGAUUGGGGUCCGCAACUCGACCUCAUGAAGUCGGAGUCGCUAGUAAUCGCAGAUCAGCAACGCUGCGGUGAAUACGUUCCCGGGGCU